RNAcentral lists this long non-coding RNA (1008 nucleotides) under Mytilus galloprovincialis (Mediterranean mussel). The record is from RNAcentral. Lineage: Eukaryota; Metazoa; Mollusca; Bivalvia; Mytilida; Mytilidae.
GUUCUUUAAAAACAAGAAAGCACUAUGUCAUAUACAUGUAUAUAAAAAUAUUGCUUUGGUCAUAUCAAUUGUCAUUGACAAAUCCUCCUUUUUUUUCCCUAAAAACAGGUUGACACAUUCCCUGAUAUCCAGGGUCAUUUUUAGUAACCAAAAUUUAUUAAAUUACAAAAAAAAAUAACUUUACAAAUUAACCCCUUCCCCUCUACACCCUUUUCCAAAUUAAAUUAAUAUAGAUACAACAAGUUUUACUACUUUCAUGGCACUACCAUAUCAGCUGUUUAUUUUAAAUGUCUAUAAAUAGCCAGACAUAGUUGUCUGUUACUUAGGUGUUUUCCCAAGUAUUUUUCCCGCCUAAAAUGAUCAUGUGACAUGUUUGUAAACAAAAGAAAACAUUUGAUCAAGGAAUUCAUUUAUUUUCUGGAUUAUUCUGCUUUUAAUAAUUUUAGUUUGGAUUUUUUAUUCAUUUCAUUUAAGGUACAGUCAAGCAUUUGUAUUUAAAAAAUAGUUUGCAAAGAAUUUUUACUUUUCAAUUUGACAAAUGUCUCAUGAUCGCCGUUCAUUGGCUUGUUCAACCAUGCAAACAAUGUAAAUUAUGUAAAUUAGAAAUCUAUCAGCUGUAAAAAAAAUUAUCUAAGCAUCACAUCGAUGUUUUUUCAUUAAUCUUCUAGGCAAAACGAUGUUUCUGGGACUUGGGGGAUACAAUCAGGACGCGUGAUUAGUAUCUGUAUUCACUAUUCAAUCUAUUGCAGUUUGCUAAUCAGCUGAUUACGAAAUCGAUUACAAAAUGGCGACCUAGUGAACUUUUGUUUUGAAGGGAAAUAACUCGAGCGGUAUUCAUAAAAUAUGUCUUUCAGUACCGGUUGUUAAUUACGACGAUAAAGGCAUGGCGUCAGGAAUUUCGACAAAAUUAGGGCAGGGCGCCAAUUUUUUUUCCCAAAAAGGGCAGGGCGUCGAGAAAUCGCGGCAGGGCGCCAUUACACGCCAAAACCACCUGUAGGAAACACUAUU